Molecule: ribosomal RNA, 160 nt
Filed under: Sarmentypnum exannulatum
Lineage: Eukaryota; Viridiplantae; Streptophyta; Bryopsida; Hypnales; Amblystegiaceae
Description: 5.8S ribosomal RNA
Rfam family: 5.8S ribosomal RNA
About the family: 5.8S ribosomal RNA (5.8S rRNA) is a component of the large subunit of the eukaryotic ribosome. It is transcribed by RNA polymerase I as part of the 45S precursor that also contains 18S and 28S rRNA. Functionally, it is thought that 5.8S rRNA may be involved in ribosome translocation.
Source: RNAcentral
AAACAACUCUCAGCAACGGAUAUCUUGGCUCUUGCAAACGAUGAGGAACGCGGCGAAAUGCGAUACGUAGUGUGAAUGGCAGAAUUCCGCGAAUCAUCGAGUCUUUGAACGCAAGUUGCGCCCGAGGCUUGUCCGAGGGCAUUUCCGCUAGAGCGUCACC